This 460-nucleotide ribosomal RNA is filed under the name uncultured bacterium. RNAcentral's name for it is "bacterial SSU rRNA". It matches the Rfam family "Bacterial small subunit ribosomal RNA", at positions 29 to 532 of the family's 1533-position model. The record is from RNAcentral.
AACGAACGCUGGCGGCAUGCCUAACACAUGCAAGUCGAACGAAGGCUUCGGCCUUAGUGGCGCACGGGUGCGUAACGCGUGGGAACCUGCCCCUCGGUUCGGAAUAACGGUUAGAAAUAGACUGCUAAUACCGGAUGAUGACUUCGGUCCAAAGAUUUAUCGCCGAGGGAGUGGGCCCGCGUAGGAUUAGCUAGUUGGUGGGGUAAAGGCCUACCAAGGCGACGAUCCUUAGCUGGUCUGAGAGGAUGAUCAGCCACACUGGGACUGAGACACGGCCCAGACUCCUACGGGAGGCAGCAGUGGGGAAUAUUGGACAAUGGGCGAAAGCCUGAUCCAGCAAUGCCGCGUGAGUGAUGAAGGCCUUAGGGUUGUAAAGCUCUUUUACCAGGGAUGAUAAUGACAGUACCUGGAGAAUAAGCUCCGGCUAACUUCGUGCCAGCAGCCGCGGUAAUGUAGACGU